CUGUAUGGUAGCGUGGGUGAUUUCAUCCAUGAGGAAAGUCCGAGCAUCACAGGGCAGGAUAGUUGCUAACGGCAACCGGGGGCGACCUUAGAGCAAGUGCAACAGAGAGAUACCGCUUUCUUCGGAAAGUAAGGGUGGAAAGGCGUGGUAAGAGCACACCAGAGCAUAGGUGACUAUGCUGCUAUGUAAACCUUAUCCGAUGCAACGUCUAUUGGUACGCACGUUCAACAUUGGCCCGAUGGGACGCUGCGUAAUGACGGCUAGAGCUGUGCGGCGACGUACAGUCGAGAUAAAUUACCAUACUCGACAGAACUCGGCUUAUAGGUUCGGUC
RNAcentral lists this RNase P RNA (332 nucleotides) under uncultured Ruminococcus sp. RNAcentral describes it as "Bacterial RNase P class A". It matches the Rfam family "Bacterial RNase P class A". From Rfam's summary of the family: Ribonuclease P (RNase P) is a ubiquitous endoribonuclease, found in archaea, bacteria and eukarya as well as chloroplasts and mitochondria. Its best characterised activity is the generation of mature 5'-ends of tRNAs by cleaving the 5'-leader elements of precursor-tRNAs. Lineage: Bacteria; Bacillati; Bacillota; Clostridia; Eubacteriales; Oscillospiraceae. The record is from RNAcentral.